CAAGCCUGACCCAGCGACGCCGCGUGCAGGAGGAAGUCCUUCGGGAUGUAAACUGCUGUCAGGGGCUAGCAAGCAAAGGGUGUUAACAGCAUCCGGCGUUGAGCCGCCCCAGAGGAAGCCUCGACUAACUCUGUGCCAGCAGUCGCGGUAAGACAGAGGAGGCAAGCGUUGUUCGGAAUCACUGGGCUUAAAGCGCGUGUAGGCGGCGGCGCAAGUGUCGUGUGAAAUCCCACGGCUCAACCGUGGAACUGCACGGCAAACUACGUCGCUUGAGGUUGGUAGAGGUGCCUGGAACUCUCGGUGGAGCGGUGAAAUGCGUUGAUAUCGAGAGGAACGCCGGAAGCGAAAGCGAGGCACUGGGCCGAUUCUGACGCUGAGACGCGAAAGCGUGGGGAGCAAACA
Molecule: ribosomal RNA, 402 nt
Filed under: uncultured bacterium
Lineage: Bacteria
Description: bacterial SSU rRNA
Rfam family: Bacterial small subunit ribosomal RNA
Source: RNAcentral